Molecule: long non-coding RNA, 1246 nt
Organism: Homalodisca vitripennis (glassy-winged sharpshooter)
Lineage: Eukaryota; Metazoa; Arthropoda; Insecta; Hemiptera; Cicadellidae
Exons: 3
Source: RefSeq, a predicted model, not a curated record
UUGAUUGGUUAAUCUUCUGUUUUAUUUAUUGUUUGAAAAACUCAGCAAUUCAUUUGUUGUAAUAAGCUUUUUUAGCGAUAAAAGUAAACAAUUAUAUAAGCUAAUUCUCAUAUAAUAGUGGACUUUUUUCAAAUAAAGAAGUUUUAUGAACUGGAAAGGCCAGAAGAGUUUUGUGUCUUCUUGUAUUAUGAUUGUGGUGAUUUUUUUAUUGAUCAAAGGCGUUUUGAUUUUUAUGAACAAUAAAAAACAUUAUGGUGGUGGCAGUAUGUGGUUAUUGUUUUGGUUCAACAAUUCAAAAAUAUAUAAACAUAGUAGUGUGAGUAUUUUAACUUUCUUAAAUAGCGGUCGGCAGCUCUCUGUAAGUUUGCAUCAACCAUUGCUCGAAACAGAUUUUUGAGCUAAUGAAUACUUUUUCAAAAUCAGGUGAUGAACCUCAGAGUACAAUACAGUAUUUCAGAAUCGGUUUUACAUGGGCAAAGUAUACAAUUUUACAAAUAGAAAUAGAUACAGAAUCUGCUAAUAUCUUCAUUGCAAAACAAAAAGAGCUUAGUUUGUUUACAAAAUAAUUAACGUGAAAUUUUCAGUUUAAGUUUUCAUCAAUUUUUACUCCUAAAACAUGUGACUUGACUAGGUUUAAUCUCCUACAUUUAAAGAUAUUUAUAUGGUUAUUUUUGUUUUAAAAUGUGUUAAAUGUUGUUUUUCUUGAAGUCAAGAAGUUAGUAUUUGGAAAGUCAUUUGGUACAUUAUUAAUGUAGACUAGAAAAAGAAUCAGACCUAAAAUUGAACCCCAUAGAACACCACCAUAGACAGUGUUUUCUUAAUUCAAUAUAAUUUUAACUGAAUUAUCAUUCAUGAUAGUUCUUUGUUUUCAAAUUUGAUUCUAAAUAGUUAAGUGCUUUCUUUUAAUUCCAAUUUGUUAUUUAUAAGUUAUACACUAAAAAUGUAUUCUGGCACUUUUCACACACACAUUUUUUCUUUACAGUACUCAAAGGGUUAACUCAUGUGUAAUUAAGUGAUAUUUAUUUUAUAGAUUAAACGGUUCGUGUUAAUAAGGGUUUUUAUAAGAAGUCCGUUACUGUUCUUCAGGUAGAAAGAGAUAUGGCUGAUAACUCUUUUACUUACUGUGACAGUGACGAAGAGGUUUUUUGGGGGAAAGUUACAGAAAAAGAUAUACGGAAGCGUGCUUUAUUUGGAAAUUGCUUUGGACUCACCUGUUGUAAGAAAGCAGCACACCCAGGCCAUCAGC